GCGGGAGUAGCUCAGUUGGUAGAGCACCUGCCUUCCAAGCAGGAUGUCGUGGGUUCGAGACCCAUCUCCCGCUCCA
This 76-nucleotide transfer RNA is filed under the name Chloroflexota bacterium. RNAcentral's name for it is "Chloroflexi bacterium tRNA-Gly". It matches the Rfam family "tRNA". From Rfam's summary of the family: Transfer RNA (tRNA) molecules are approximately 80 nucleotides in length. Their secondary structure includes four short double-helical elements and three loops (D, anti-codon, and T loops). Further hydrogen bonds mediate the characteristic L-shaped molecular structure. tRNAs have two regions of fundamental functional importance: the anti-codon, which is responsible for specific mRNA codon recognition, and the 3' end, to which the tRNAs corresponding amino acid is attached (by aminoacyl-tRNA synthetases). tRNAs cope with the degeneracy of the genetic code in two manners: having more than one tRNA (with a specific anti-codon) for a particular amino acid; and 'wobble' base-pairing, i.e. permitting non-standard base-pairing at the 3rd anti-codon position. Lineage: Bacteria; Bacillati; Chloroflexota. The record is from RNAcentral. RNAcentral also lists the same sequence under 1 other name.